Rana temporaria (common frog) is the source of this 843-nucleotide long non-coding RNA. RefSeq lists it as uncharacterized. The record is from RefSeq and is a predicted model, not a curated record. The transcript is spliced from 3 exons. Lineage: Eukaryota; Metazoa; Chordata; Amphibia; Anura; Ranidae.
UAGCAUAUUGGUGGCCUCUAUGCUAUAGAAGGAAUCACCUUGUCUGCUUGCUGCUGCUAUUUAUAUCCCAGCAGCUUUUGUAUCUGACACCAGUGAUCUCUGCUCAGGAAGUCUUCUAGUUUCUUUUAAUUCACAACUGAAUCUCUACAAUUCAAAGGCUUCUUUAUUAAACCUCCUCGUUCCACCGACGUUCCCCUACCCCUCCUGGUUUCUAUAUGGUCACUCCAUCUUGGUCCCAUAAUUUUUGGGGGUGACCUCUUGUGGUGUUGAGCGGGGUGUUUCACAGUAUGUGGACAGCUGUUUUUUCUGCCUGGGAUGGAAGCUAUCCUUAUUAGACCGCCUGAUACUGCCGCUUGGACUGCAGCACAUCAUUGAGACACAUCAUCAAGGUAAAGGAAUUAAUAAUUAAAAACUAAAAAUUAAAAAUUAAAAAAUGUAUUUAAGAUACUUUUGUUUGCAAUGUUGCACACGAAUUUGCUUAAUUUUUUGACUUUUUGCUUUCAUUACAUCCUUUUGCACACUGCUCCUCUAGCCAAAGGGCUUUUUGUAAAACCAACAAUGUAUCUCUUAUUACCUAAACUAUGAUCAUGAGAUGUUUAACCACUAUAUGUUCCUUUCCAGCCACACAAACUCUCUGAAGAAGACCUUCAAAGGUCGAAACGUUCGUUAGAUUGUUUUUACUACAAUGCACAUUUUUGACUGUAUAAACAUUGUUUGUGUACUGCUUGUUAUACAUUUAUGUAAACGCUGUUUGUGUACUUGAUACAACUCAUGCUUCAUCCAUUUAUGCUACCCAAUUUUUGUCCACUUUUUAAUAUGUGAAUAAACACAACUUUUUUAUUA